Molecule: long non-coding RNA, 325 nt
Filed under: Cavia porcellus (domestic guinea pig)
Lineage: Eukaryota; Metazoa; Chordata; Mammalia; Rodentia; Caviidae
Description: lncRNA (ENSCPOG00000031125.1)
Source: RNAcentral
GGCGUCUUUAAACCUCCAGCGGCGGCCGGGGCUGGGGAUUUCCAGCAGACCUCACCUCCACUCCGGAGUCGGGCGCCACCCUCCCCCAGCCUAGGCGGGCGCCCCCAUGGCUUUGCUGGAACCAACAGGCCACGCGGCUCGUUCCUUGCACACCAAGGAAAGCCUGGAGUUCAGAGUUCCAGUUCCCAAGGGCUGUCUGCUAAGAAACAAAUACUCCAGGAAGAAAAGCACUCUGGCAGGUUCCCCAAUGCUGGGUCCCACUGAGGGUGGAUUAUGGCAUUUCAGAGGCUUCCUGACACUGAAUCAGCUCUCUGGACUCUGCUGA